Molecule: ribosomal RNA, 787 nt
Filed under: uncultured bacterium
Lineage: Bacteria
Description: bacterial SSU rRNA
Rfam family: Bacterial small subunit ribosomal RNA
Source: RNAcentral
AGAGUUUGAUCCUGGCUCAGGAUGAACGCUGGCGGCGUGCCUAACACAUGCAAGUCGAGCGGCAACGAGUUCUCACUGAGAUUCUGAAGUUUUCGGAGUUUCUGUGAGAAUGUCGGCGAGCGGCGGACGGCUGAGUAACGCGUGGGAACAUACCCCAAAGUGAGGGAUAACCUUCCGAAAGGAAGGCUAAUACCGCAUAUGGUCUUCGGAUUAAAGGAUUUAUCCGCUUUGGGAAUGGCCUGCGUCGGAUUAGGUAGUUGGUGAGGUAAAGGCUCACCAAGCCGAUGAUCCGUAACUGGUUUGAGAGGAUGACCAGUCAGACUGGAACUGAGACACGGUCCAGACUCCUACGGGAGGCAGCAGUGAGGAAUCUUUCACAAUGGGGGAAACCCUGAUGGAGCAACGCCGCGUGCAGGACGAAGGCCUUCGGGUCGUAAACUGCUUUUAUUUAUGAUGAAUUUGACAGUAAUAAAUGAAUAAGGAUCGGCUAACUACGUGCCAGCAGCCGCGGUCAUACGUAGGAUCCAAGCGUUAUUCGGAGUGACUGGGCGUAAAGAGUUGCGUAGGUGGUUUGUUAAGUGAUUAGUGAAAUUCGGUGGCUCAACCAUUCGAACUAUUAAUCAAACUGGCAGACUCGGGAGUAGUAGAGGUAACUGGAAUUUCUAGUGUAGGAGUGAAAUCCGUAGAUAUUAGAAGGAACACCAAUGGCGUAGGCAGGUUACUGGACUAUUUCUGACACUGAGGCACGAAAGCGUGGGGAGCGAACGGGAUUAGAUACCCCGGUAGU